AUUGAACGCUGGCGGCAUGCCUUACACAUGCAAGUCGAACGGUAACAGGUCUUCGGAUGCUGACGAGUGGCGAACGGGUGAGUAAUACAUCGGGACGUGCCUAGUAGUGGGGGAUAACUACUCGAAAGAGUGGCUAAUACCGCAUGAGAUCUACGGAUGAAAGCAGGGGAUCGCAAGACCUUGUGCUACUAGAGCGGCCGAUGGCAGAUUAGGUAGUUGGUGGGAUAAAGGCUUACCAAGCCGACGAUCUGUAGCUGGUCUGAGAGGACGAUCAGCCACACUGGGACUGAGACACGGCCCAGACUCCUACGGGAGGCAGCAGUGGGGAAUUUUGGACAAUGGGCGAAAGCCUGAUCCAGCAAUGCCGCGUACAGGAUGAAGGCCUUCGGGUUGUAAACUGUUUUUGUACGGAACGAAAAGCCCCGGGUUAAUACCCUGGGGUCAUGACGGUACCGUAAGAAUAAGCACCGGCUAACUACGUGCCAGCCGCCGCAGUAA
This 498-nucleotide ribosomal RNA is filed under the name uncultured bacterium. Its description in RNAcentral is "partial 16S ribosomal RNA". It matches the Rfam family "Bacterial small subunit ribosomal RNA", at positions 30 to 523 of the family's 1533-position model. The record is from RNAcentral.